UAACGCGAAGAACCUUACCAAGGCUUGACAUACACGAGAACGGGCCAGAAAUGGUCAACUCUUUGGACACUCGUGAACAGGUGGUGCAUGGUUGUCGUCAGCUCGUGUCGUGAGAUGUUGGGUUAAGUCCCACAACGAGCGCAACCCUCGUUCUAUGUUGCCAGCGCGUAAUGGCGGGAACUCAUAGGAGACUGCCGGGGUCAACUCGGAGGAAGGUGGGGAUGACGUCAAAUCAUCAUGCCCCUUAUGUCUUGGGCUUCACGCAUGCUACAAUGGCCGGUACAAAGGGCUGCAAUACCGUAAGGUGGAGCGAAUCCCAAAAAGCCGGUCUCAGUUCGGAUUGAGGCCUGCAACUCGACCUCAUGAAGUCGGAGUCGCUAGUAAUCGCAGAUCAGCA
Molecule: ribosomal RNA, 397 nt
Filed under: uncultured bacterium
Lineage: Bacteria
Description: bacterial SSU rRNA
Rfam family: Bacterial small subunit ribosomal RNA
Source: RNAcentral